UAGGCGGACAGCAAGUUAUGUGACGUACAAUCCGGAUAUGAAAAGACUAUGACUUAUAUGCUGCCAGCUAUGGCAGGUGCUAACGUGCUUUACGGCUCAG
Regulatory RNA element from Acetohalobium arabaticum DSM 5501, 100 nucleotides. It matches the Rfam family "Pyrrolysine insertion sequence mttB". NCBI's taxonomy places the organism in Bacteria, Bacillati, Bacillota, Clostridia, Halanaerobiales, Halobacteroidaceae. The record is from Rfam.